RNAcentral lists this long non-coding RNA (403 nucleotides) under Pan troglodytes (chimpanzee). RNAcentral describes it as "long non-coding RNA NONPTRT001675". The record is from RNAcentral. Lineage: Eukaryota; Metazoa; Chordata; Mammalia; Primates; Hominidae.
CAAAGACUGGGGUCAAGGUUGAAAAAAAUGAGAUUUAAAUUUGGAAAAUGAUAAAUUAACCAGAAAAGUUUAUGCAUUUUGGGUUUUACUCUGUGGUCUUGCUGCAGAACAAGUGGAGAAACUAACAACCCAUGGAAGAAAAUUCCUAGAAUACUGGGAUCAAGUCAAAACACCUGAUGGUUUUAGAGGACAGAAUUUUUGGAGGGAAAAACACAACCAGAUGACUCUCUGCACCCCUUUCCCAGGCCAUGGGCACCUGCCUGAUUCCUAUGGUCAUGAAGGAACAUUUUUCUGGUGUGGCCAUAUUCAUGGUGUCAGUGCAAUCUCAUCAGAGAUGAGGCUCCCCACUCAAGCUGCCAUGUGACUUGACAGCAUCCCGGCUCUUCAUACCGUUCCCUCACCA